AGAAGUGAGAAUGCCGGUGUGAGUAGCGAAAGACGGGUGAGAAUCCCGUCCACCGAUUGACUAAGGUUUCCAGAGGAAGGCUCGUCCGCUCUGGGUUAGUCGGGUCCUAAGCUGAGGCCGACAGGCGUAGGCGAUGGAUAACAGGUUGAUAUUCCUGUACCACCUAUAAUCGUUUUAAUCGAUGGGGGGACGCAGUAGGAUAGGCGAAGCGUGCGAUUGGAUUGCACGUCUAAGCAGUAAGGCUGAGUAUUAGGCAAAUCCGGUACUCGUUAAGGCUGA
This 279-nucleotide ribosomal RNA is filed under the name Staphylococcus aureus. Its description in RNAcentral is "partial 23S ribosomal RNA". It matches the Rfam family "Bacterial large subunit ribosomal RNA", at positions 1284 to 1559 of the family's 2925-position model. The record is from RNAcentral. Lineage: Bacteria; Bacillati; Bacillota; Bacilli; Caryophanales; Staphylococcaceae.